AACGAACGCUGGCGGCAGGCUUAACACAUGCAAGUCGAGCGCCCCGCAAGGGGAGCGGCAGACGGGUGAGUAACGCGUGGGAACGUACCUUUUGGUUCGGAACAACUCCGGGACACUGGAGCUAAUACCGGAUAAGCCCUAACGGGGAAAGAUUUAUCGCCGAAAGAUCGGCCCGCGUCUGAUUAGCUAGUUGGUGAGGUAACGGCUCACCAAGGCGACGAUCAGUAGCUGGUCUGAGAGGAUGAUCAGCCACACUGGGACUGAGACACGGCCCAGACUCCUACGGGAGGCAGCAGUGGGGAAUAUUGGACAAUGGGCGCAAGCCUGAUCCAGCCAUGCCGCGUGAGUGAUGAAGGCCUUAGGGUUGUAAAGCUCUUUUGUCCGGGAAGAUAAUGGCUGUACCGGAAGAAUAAGCCCCGGCUAACUUCGUG
RNAcentral lists this ribosomal RNA (431 nucleotides) under uncultured bacterium. RNAcentral's name for it is "partial 16S ribosomal RNA". It matches the Rfam family "Bacterial small subunit ribosomal RNA", at positions 29 to 507 of the family's 1533-position model. The record is from RNAcentral.